RNAcentral lists this ribosomal RNA (557 nucleotides) under uncultured fungus. RNAcentral's name for it is "bacterial SSU rRNA". It matches the Rfam family "Eukaryotic small subunit ribosomal RNA", at positions 4 to 565 of the family's 1831-position model. The record is from RNAcentral. Lineage: Eukaryota; Fungi.
CUGGUUGAUCCUGCCAGUAGUUAUAUGCUUGUCUCAAAGAUUAAGCCAUGCAUGUCUAAGUUUAAAUCAAUUAAACAGUGAAACUGCGAAUGGCUCAUUAAAUCAGUCACAAUUUACUUGAUAGUCUACUACAUGGAUACCUGUGGUAAUUCUAGAGCUAAUACAUGCACUAAUACCUGACUUUACGGAAAGGUAGUAUUUAUUAGAUAAAAAACCAACCUGGGCAACCAGUUCUUUGGUGAUUCAUAGUAACUGAACGAAUCGCAUGGUCUUGUGUCGGCGAUGUUUCAUUCAAGUUUCUGCCCUAUCAACUUUCGAUGGUAGAGUAGUGGUCUACCAUGGUGAUAACGGGUAACGGGGAAUUAGGGUUCUAUUCCGGAGAGGGAGCCUGAGAGAUGGCUACCACAUCCAAGGAAGGCAGCAGGCGCGCAAAUUACCCAAUCCUGAUACAGGGAGGUAGUGACAAUAAAUACUGAUGCAGGGCCUCUAAGGCUUUGCAAUUGGAAUGAGUACAAUUUAAACUACUUAACGAGGAACCAUUGGAGGGCAAGUCUGGU